GCUGAGAAUGAUCCAGUUCGUAACCAAAUAAUCCUCGGGUUUCUCGGGGAAAGAUGAGUCCUUGAAAAAUACUGCAGAGGGAGCUCGAAGCCUGGGAGUGCUUCGGACCUGGCUUUGAAUUCACGGUCCUUGCUGGAAGAGCCGGGCAAAGAGAGCAUGAAAGGAUUCACUUCAGCAGAGCCCUCGGGGAAGUGUCAGCCACCAGGACAUCCAGGCAAAACCACCCAUCUGGGGACUGCAAAAAUGGCAAAGUGUGGGGCUGUCCUGAGACAGGAUGAAGAUGGAGCUGAAGUUCAUGUUGAUUUGCUCGCAGGAGUUUCACCGUUCCUUCCCUGCUCACAACUCCCCUUUUCCACUGCCAGCAGUGCCUGAGGAGAACAAAAUGCCCAAACAGUUCCAGGAGUCAGAGCCCACCAGCCUGCAGACACACAGGGCACACACACCAUCUCUUGCAGUAAAUCCAGAGCAGUCUGGCCUGCUGGGAUUUAUUACUUCCCCACUUGCUGGCUAAUUACCUGCAAUUGCCUUCCUUCAUUACCUGGAGAUGUAUUUCAGAGAAUAAUGCCUUGAGAAAUGUGAGCUACUCCUGUAAUUACACACUGCUGCCAUGACAGAUGGGAAUUCCAGGCUCAGCUCCAUUCCUCCCACAGGACCAAAACCUUCCAGCUUCCACCUCCACACCAGACCCACGGCAUUGCCUGGCUUGGUGUGGUUGGGAUGGCAUGUGGGAACAGUGGCAGAGGCUGCCCCAUCACCUACCUACAAGAGGAAUCCAUCCUCUUUCCAGAAAAACUAACUUGGGUCUGAGAACAGCAGGCAAAAGCCUUUUCUUCCUCUCUUCUCUACUGUGCAUCUUUUCCUUAGCUCUAUCUCAUAGUUCAGCUGGAGAAGAUACCCACUAUUUUCUCAUUUAGCAGUAAAAAUAGGGAAUAACCUUUUCUUCUCUUGUAAGAUUGCUUAACCACAUGCCUCUUGCUCUGAAAAAUGGACUUUAUUACACUUAAGCUUGUUCAGCAUGAACACUCUGCUAAAUAUUUUGUGUUUUGAUUCUUGUUUCUCAUGGCCAUCUGAACAGUUACAUCUCCUGUUUUGGCAUGAAUUUUUUUCCAGAGAUGGUACUAAACCAGAUGAAAGCUAUGACCUCAGAAUCUUCAAUUUUCUUGGAUUUUCCAAGGCUUUUGCCUCAUGGCAACCAGCACAAUGGUGAACCCAACUCUUUACUGCUCUCACAACGCAUCUGCAUCAAUUUAUUUUGGCUUUAGCAGACACUGAAGAUUAGAAAAGUAACCUACAAAAACUGUCAGGAGUUUUUAUUUUAUCCAAAAUGAAACCAAUCACUCAAUACCCUCAUGCUUAACCUCAUGCAAAGCACACUGGAGGGAAUCAAUGGGAAUAUUUUCUUUGGCUUCAGGUGGCUGACAUAGUCUUAAAAAUUAGGAUAGAGUUAAAAUUCAAAACAAGCCACAUUCAUAGUUAGUUUUUUCUUCAGAAAGGCCUGUUGGGCUAAAAAAAGAAGGUUAAAAAAAGAACUUUGGUUUUUCUCUGCUAUACUAAAAAUGGCAUGAUGUGUUUGGUUUUGGAAUAAAUAGUGCUCGAAUGUGCAAAGAA
Haemorhous mexicanus (house finch) is the source of this 1608-nucleotide long non-coding RNA. RefSeq lists it as uncharacterized. The transcript is spliced from 2 exons. The record is from RefSeq and is a predicted model, not a curated record. NCBI's taxonomy places the organism in Eukaryota, Metazoa, Chordata, Aves, Passeriformes, Fringillidae.